AUAAAUAUAUAUAAAACUUCUCUCUUCUUCCAUUCAAACAGUCACAAUAUUCUAAAGGAAACUCUUUCUCCUUACGCAUAUCAACAAAAAAAAAAAACCCAGCAGUGGAAAAACAAUGAACACAUUUCGGUGUUCUUCCUCACGUCAACCCCAAUUUCGAACAAUACCAAUCACGAAAACCGCAAUCUUGCAAAAUGAAAAACGACCACACUCCCCUCCUGUUUCUAAGCCCCAAAUUAAUUUUAGCACAUCAACAGUUUCUGUUUAACAAAUCUAACUUUCAAAAACAUAUACCCUAGCUCCUAAUCCGUCUUUUACAUCAACAAUCAAUCAACAAAAAUCCUCGAAUUUUAAAGUCGGAUGGUGGUAAAUACACAAAGAAUAUGAUACAGAAGUACUUAAAGCAAAUGAGAAGGGAUUCCACCGGAGCAUCGUAACUCCGGCGAAGGCCUGGAGACCAUGAAUACCUUAGAGUAACGGUGCUUCCUCCAGGGUCCCCUUCUUCAAUGAUUUAAUGCUCCUUUUUAUAGAGUGAAGUAAGGUCCCUAAAUCAUGUGCGGAUCGUUAGUUGGUAGAGGGUGAAAAGAAUCAUUCUGUUAGAAGGGAAUUUUCCUCAGAUUCGGUGGGGACCAAAAUGAUUGUGGUAAGCAUGAGUUUUGUCUGUAGUGAAAUCCUUUAGAAAACAUGGUCCUGGAUUGGGUUUCCUAUUGACUGCCAUAAAAUAUUUACGUGUUGUGGUAAGAUUUCUGUUUUUACUGUUUAUGCAAAGCUCCUAUUUUAACUGAUAUAUUUGAAUGUUCUUUAAUUCAAAAGCUCAAUUUGGAUUCUGAUUUGUGGCUCCCUUUCGACACAUUUGGAGAUUUUGGUUAUGCACGUCGUCCACAACAAUGUCUUCAUUUGCCUAUAGUUUGUCUCAGAUGGUUAGAUGGUGCCCCUUGGAAUCUGCCUGCAAGGAUGAUCUUCAAGGUAUGUCAUUGCAGCCUUGUAUGCACCCUGCAACUGACAUAAAUGCAUGGCUCUUAGUCCCUAGCUUAUGCAGCAUGAGAUUUUGUAGGGUGAUUCAUAGGUAGCUCUGCGAUUAAUCAAUAUGUUGCGACAUAUUUCAAGUGGUUCUGCGGUUACCUUUUUUGAGUUCUACUGAGUUUUGAAGGAUUGUUGAUGCUACAAAGGCAAUGUACACUUUGUCCUAUUGGUUUACAGGGUAGCUGGCUCGAGUUCGGGAAAUAGUCGCAGCCAAAGCUCUAAGCAUCCGCCUUUGCUCACUGAUAUCAUCUCUUAUACGAAACAUCAUUAGCUUCACUUGUCUGUCUUGCAGUUUCAGAGUGAAAUGGAUCGACAUCUGAUGCACUUCAGAGUAGUAUCAUUUGUUUGAUUCCAUCUCUUCAGGAGACAGGCUUGGUUUGUAUUUUCUUCUUUAACUUCAAGUGAACCUCCUUCCAAUGUCAUUUGCUUCAGAGUUGCGGAGGGGGCUUCACCGUCGUUGUCCUCUUUAUCGUCAUCAACUUGUCCUUAAAGUGCGCCAACACCACUAACCACUGUCUCCCCUUCAAAGCUUAUGGUUUUUUUCUUAGGCAGUUCUGGACAGGUUGAGAUGUCAUAUACAAAUGGAUGCACAACCGAACACGAAUGGACCAAACAUGGAAGAUCAAUGAUUGAACGCCUCAUAUUCAUAACUUGUUCUAUCUCGACUCAAGUUAUGUAGCAUGGCGUUAACAUGAUGUAGUAUAAUCAGGACAUUGGCUAGCUUAUGAACAAUCAUUGUAUGCUUGUAAUUUCAAUUGCCAUCCUGUGAUUUGAUGCCCACAUGUAUUCCCUUGGACACUUUUGCCUUACCAUUCUCACUUGAGUGUUGACUUGGACCUUGUAAUAUAAAUUUGGAAUUUGAGUCAUGGGCUUAAGCUGA
Molecule: long non-coding RNA, 1903 nt
Organism: Lathyrus oleraceus (garden pea)
Lineage: Eukaryota; Viridiplantae; Streptophyta; Magnoliopsida; Fabales; Fabaceae
Exons: 4
Source: RefSeq, a predicted model, not a curated record